GAUGAAUGCUAGCGACAGGCUUAACACAUGCAAGUCGAGGGGCAGCGGGGUGUGGCAACACACUGCCGGCGACCGGCGCACGGGUGAGUAACGCGUAUGCAACUUGCCUAUCAGAGGGGGAUAACCCGGCGAAAGUCGGACUAAUACCGCAUAAAACGGGGGUUCCGCAUGGGGAUAUUUGUUAAAGAUUCAUCGCUGAUAGAUAGGCAUGCGUUCCAUUAGGCAGUUGGCGGGGUAACGGCCCACCAAACCGACGAUGGAUAGGGGUUCUGGUGGGAAGGACCCCCACAUUGGUACUGAGAGACGGACCAAACUCCUACGGGAGGCAGCAGUGAGGAAGAUUGGUCAAUGGCCGGGAGGCUGAACCAGCCAAGUCGCGUGAAGGAUGAAGGUUCUAUGGAUUGUAAACCUCUUUUGUGCGGGAAUAAAGUCGGGGAUGCGUCCCCGUUUGCAUGUACCGUACGAAUAAGCAUCGGCUAACUCCGUGCCAGCCGCCGCAGUAA
RNAcentral lists this ribosomal RNA (503 nucleotides) under uncultured bacterium. RNAcentral describes it as "partial 16S ribosomal RNA". It matches the Rfam family "Bacterial small subunit ribosomal RNA", at positions 28 to 523 of the family's 1533-position model. The record is from RNAcentral.